UACGUAGGUGGCAAGCGUUAUCCGGAAUUACUGGGCGUAAAGGGCGCGUAGGCGAUUUUGUAAGUCUUGUGUGAAAGCCCAAAGCCUAACUUUGGAAGUGCACAAGAAACUGCGAGAAUUGAGUUCCGGAGAGGAAGAUGGAAUUCCCGGUGUAGCGGUGAAAUGCGUAGAUAUCGGGAGGAAUACCGAUGGCGAAGGCAGGUCUCUGGGCUGACACUGACGCUCAUGCACGAAAGCGUGGGGAGCAAACAGG
This 253-nucleotide ribosomal RNA is filed under the name uncultured bacterium. RNAcentral's name for it is "partial 16S ribosomal RNA". It matches the Rfam family "Bacterial small subunit ribosomal RNA", at positions 524 to 776 of the family's 1533-position model. The record is from RNAcentral.